UCGGGAUUAGUGGCGGACGGGUGAGUAACACGUGGGAACGUGCCCUUUGGUUCGGAACAACUCAGGGAAACUUGAGCUAAUACCGGAUGUGCCCUUCGGGGGAAAGAUUUAUCGCCAUUGGAGCGGCCCGCGUAGGAUUAGCUAGUUGGUGGGGUAAAGGCCCACCAAGGCUACGAUCCUUAGCUGGUCUGAGAGGAUGAUCAGCCACAUUGGGACUGAGACACGGCCCAAACUCC
This 236-nucleotide ribosomal RNA is filed under the name uncultured bacterium. Its description in RNAcentral is "partial 16S ribosomal RNA". It matches the Rfam family "Bacterial small subunit ribosomal RNA", at positions 86 to 339 of the family's 1533-position model. The record is from RNAcentral.